GACGAGCGCUGGCGGCGUGCUUAACACAUGCAAGUCGAACGGUGAAGCGCCUUCCUUUUUGGUGGGUGUGGAUGAGUGGCGAACGGGUGAGUAACACGUGAGUAACCUGCCCCCUUCUUCUGGAUAACCGCAUGAAAGUGUGGCUAAUACGGGAUAUUCUGGGUCUGUCGCAUGAUGGGUCUGGGAAAGAUAUUGUUUCGGUGGGGGAUGGGCUCGCGGCCUACCAGCUUGUUGGUGGGGUGAUGGCCUACCAAGGCGGUGACGGGUAGCCGGCCUGAGAGGGUGGACGGUCACACUGGGACUGAGACACGGCCCAGACUCCUACGGGAGGCAGCAGUGGGGAAUAUUGCACAAUGGGCGCAAGCCUGAUGCAGCGACGCCGCGUGAGGGAUGGAGGCCUUCGGGUUGUGAACCUCUUUCGCCAGUGAAGCAGGCCUGCCUCGUUUGUGGGUGGGUUGACGGUAGCUGGAUAAGAAGCGCCGGCUAACUACGUGC
Molecule: ribosomal RNA, 495 nt
Filed under: uncultured bacterium
Lineage: Bacteria
Description: partial 16S ribosomal RNA
Rfam family: Bacterial small subunit ribosomal RNA
Source: RNAcentral